This 401-nucleotide ribosomal RNA is filed under the name uncultured bacterium. RNAcentral's name for it is "bacterial SSU rRNA". It matches the Rfam family "Bacterial small subunit ribosomal RNA", at positions 355 to 773 of the family's 1533-position model. The record is from RNAcentral.
UCGGGAAUUUUGGGCAAUGGGCGAAAGCCUGACCCAGCAACGCCGCGUGAGGGAUGAAGUAUUUCGGUAUGUAAACCUCGAAAGAAUGGGAAGAAUAAAUGACGGUACCAUUUAUAAGCUCCGGCUAACUACGUGCCAGCAGCCGCGGUAAUACGUAGGGAGCAAGCGUUGUUCGGAUUUACUGGGCGUAAAGGGCGCGUAGGCGGCGCGGUAAGUCACUUGUGAAAUAUCUGAGCUUAACUCAGAACGGCCAAGUGAUACUGCUGUGCUAGAGUGAUGAAGAGGGAACAGGAAAUUGUGGUGUAGCUGUGAAAUGCGAAGAUAUCAAGAGGAACACCUGAGGCGAAGGCGGGUUGCGGGGCCGACACUGACGCUGAUGCGCGAAAGCCAGGGGAGCAAAC